This 497-nucleotide ribosomal RNA is filed under the name uncultured bacterium. RNAcentral describes it as "partial 16S ribosomal RNA". It matches the Rfam family "Bacterial small subunit ribosomal RNA", at positions 28 to 507 of the family's 1533-position model. The record is from RNAcentral.
GAUGAACGCUGGCGGCGUGCCUAAUACAUGCAAGUCGAGCGAACAGACGAGGAGCUUGCUCCUCUGACGUUAGCGGCGGACGGGUGAGUAACACGUGGAUAACCUACCUAUAAGACUGGGAUAACUUCGGGAAACCGGAGCUAAUACCGGAUAAUAUAUUGAACCGCAUGGUUCAAUAGUAAAAGACGGUUUUGCUGUCACUUAUAGAUGGAUCCGCGCCGCAUUAGCUAGUUGGUAAGGUAACGGCUUACCAAGGCAACGAUGCGUAGCCGACCUGAGAGGGUGAUCGGCCACACUGGAACUGGGACACGGUCCAGACUCCUACGGGAGGCAGCAGUAGGGAAUCUUCCGCAAUGGGCGAAAGCCUGACGGAGCAACGCCGCGUGAGUGAUGAAGGUCUUCGGAUCGUAAAACUCUGUUAUUAGGGAAGAACAAAUGUGUAAGUAACUAUGCACGUCUUGACGGUACCUAAUCAGAAAGCCACGGCUAACUACGUG